AUGGCAUCCCCGCCGCCGUCGCCGGAGCCGGACUGGGCCGGCCUCCCUGAUGAUGCCCUGCUUACAGUGUUCGAGCGCCUGGGCGCGCCGGAGGUGCUCAUGGGCGCCGGGGUCGUGUGCCGCAACUGGCUCCGCGUCGCCACCGGCGAGCCCGACCUCUGGCGCCGUGUUGACCUGUCCGACUGCUUCGACCCCACCAUCGACAUGGUGGCCAUGGCGUGCGCAGCCGUCGACCGCGCCGACGGCCGCCUCGAGCACUUUGCCGCCGACUGUUUCGUCACCGAUGCGCUGCUCUUCUACAUGGCCAAGAGAACUAAUGGGUUGAAAAGCCUUCGGCUAGUUAACUGCAUGAAAGUCUCACACAAAGGCUUGGUUGCUCUGGGCAAGAGAUCCCCCCAUCUGGAGGAACUUGAGCUUACUACCUGCUCCAUCUAUAUUUCAAUGAAGGCUGUUGGCCAAGCAUUCCCACAGCUGAAGCGGCUGCGCCUGAACAACCGGUGA
Molecule: ribosomal RNA, 501 nt
Filed under: Triticum aestivum (bread wheat)
Lineage: Eukaryota; Viridiplantae; Streptophyta; Magnoliopsida; Poales; Poaceae
Description: partial small subunit ribosomal RNA
Source: RNAcentral